This 253-nucleotide ribosomal RNA is filed under the name uncultured bacterium. RNAcentral's name for it is "partial 16S ribosomal RNA". It matches the Rfam family "Bacterial small subunit ribosomal RNA", at positions 524 to 776 of the family's 1533-position model. The record is from RNAcentral.
UACGGAGGGUGCAAGCGUUAUCCGGAUUUACUGGGUUUAAAGGGUGCGUAGGUGGGUCUGUAAGUCAGUGGUGAAAUCUCCGAACUUAACUCGGAAACUGCCAUUGAUACUAUAGAUCUUGAAUUAUCUGGAGGUGAGCGGAAUAUGUCAUGUAGCGGUGAAAUGCUUAGAUAUGACAUAGAACACCAAUUGCGAAGGCAGCUCACUACGGAUUGAUUGACACUGAGGCACGAGAGCGUGGGGAUCAAACAGG